GCCCGCUGUGCACGCAGCCUCCUGCUGAUCAGUCAUUUUGGUGUGAGGGUGUCACGACCAUUAACGUAUUAGCUCUUUAUUAUAUAGGAUUAUGUAGAAUAUUCUCUUGAUGAUAACUCUUGAGAAUAGGUCUGAUGACUAACUCAGGUUAGGUACCCUGCCCCAGGCCACGGCUAGUAGAGCUAGGAUACAAUCCUAGGAACAUGACUCCUGACUCUUAACCAAUAUGUUCCUUUGUUACUUCUGCUGGUACAUUGUCCAGUUUGCAUUUGUGUUUUAAUUUUGCUAAUAGUAUCUUUUUAUACAGGAGCUUUAAGUUUUUGUGUGGAGGGACUAGGUCUUAUUUUUUAGUGUAAUGCCUGGGACAUGAUUGAUUCUCAAAUAUUGGUUGGACAAAUGAGAAAUAAACCCAUUAAUAAUCUGUUAACAGUGGUGAUCUUUUAUUUUAUGUAUUAUAUUUCCUCUUUUAAAGGGAUUAUCAAGGGCUUCAUAAAUAAUUUACUCUUUGCUUUUGAUAAGAUACAAUAAGCUUAUCUGUAUUAGCUUUUCUGGAAAGUCUAUGGAAGUAAUUACUGCUUUAAAAAUGAACAUGUGUUCUUAAACAAGCAAAUAUGAGCUAUGAAGAAUGUGUAUUAUCGACAGUGAUUUGAUUUGUAGAUUCAAGUAAAGUAAAAUAUUUGUUUUGGUUUUUGGAAUAAUUUGGUGGAGUUGGUUUUAGGAGUUUUAGAAAAUGGGAAGAUUUGGCCAUUGUUUUAAAAGCUUUUUGAAUAAAUUUUGGUUUACUUUAAGAAGAUACUUUAAAAGGGAAAACCCAGACUAAGAAAGCUGAUGUAAAAAGUUGUUAUUGCUUAAGGUUUGGGUAAUGGAGAGCAACUUCCCCAAAAGUGCAAUUUAAGAUUUUACUGUUUAGUGUUUUUUCUCCCGUUUCCUUUGGAGGUUGACUUUAGGCUACCUACUGGUCCCUGGUUAGUUUGGUUGAGGCUUGUAUAUCCGUUACUCUAGUCUUUAUAAGUGCAGAGACCCUUGGUAUUAAAUGGGUCUGUGUUUGAGAUUACAUUAGAGAAAAACACAAAUAGGUUUAUUUUCAUUUUUAUACACCCUGCACAAAAUAUACUACAUGGGAUCAAGUACUCAAAAAGUAGACGCUUGAAAAUGUUACCAUGUUAAUACUAAAAAAGCAAAAAAAAUGUUUUUGUAGUUGAAUGCUUGCGUUUCCGUAGCCUACUGGUUGCAGCCAGCCUUUUUUCUUCCUACUAGUCGUAUUCUUUUAGGUUAUGUUUAA
Long non-coding RNA from Myotis davidii, 1282 nucleotides. RefSeq lists it as uncharacterized. The record is from RefSeq and is a predicted model, not a curated record. NCBI's taxonomy places the organism in Eukaryota, Metazoa, Chordata, Mammalia, Chiroptera, Vespertilionidae. The transcript is spliced from 2 exons.